This 468-nucleotide ribosomal RNA is filed under the name uncultured bacterium. Its description in RNAcentral is "bacterial SSU rRNA". It matches the Rfam family "Bacterial small subunit ribosomal RNA", at positions 329 to 794 of the family's 1533-position model. The record is from RNAcentral.
GGCCAGACUCCUACGGGAGGCAGCAGUGAGGAAUAUUGGUCAAUGGCCGGAAGGCUGAACCAGCCAAGCCGCGUGAGGGAGGAAGGCGCAGAGCGUCGCAGACCUCUUUUGCCGGGGGACAAAAGGCCGGACGGGUCCGGUUCUGAGGGUACCCGGAGAAAAAGCAUCGGCUAACUCCGUGCCAGCAGCCGCGGUAAUACGGAAGGUCCGGGCGUUAUCCGGAUUUAUUGGGUUUAAAGGGAGCGUAGGCCGGCUUUUAAGUCAGCUGUGAAAGUCCGCGGCUCAACCGUGGAAUUGCAGUUGAAACUGGAGGCCUUGAGUGCACACAGGGAUGCCGGAAUUCAUGGUGUAGCGGUGAAAUGCUUAGAUAUCAUGAAGAACUCCGAUCGCGAAGGCAAGUGUCCGGGGUGCAACUGACGCUGAGGCUCGAAAGUGCGGGUAUCAAACAGGAUUAGAUACCCCUGUACA